This 248-nucleotide long non-coding RNA is filed under the name Triticum aestivum (bread wheat). RNAcentral's name for it is "long non-coding RNA (TAES_LNC014255)". The record is from RNAcentral. Lineage: Eukaryota; Viridiplantae; Streptophyta; Magnoliopsida; Poales; Poaceae.
UAAAUUUCACAGAACCAUCUUAACACUUGUAGUGUUCAUGGAUGCAACAUUCAACAUCUCAACUCGAAGAGAUCACGAGGACACACACAACCAUCAUCAAAAGGUUGGUACCUUCCCUAGCGUUUCACCACCAACCUAACCAGACCACUUCUCUAGAUGUAUGUACAAAGCGUCGAGGUCCUCCACCUUGAGGAACUUCGGACGAUGGCGUCGUCCUCCACCUCGGUGACGUCCGGACGGUGGCGUCG